This 1415-nucleotide ribosomal RNA is filed under the name metagenome. RNAcentral's name for it is "bacterial LSU rRNA". It matches the Rfam family "Archaeal large subunit ribosomal RNA", at positions 1538 to 2987 of the family's 2987-position model. The record is from RNAcentral.
UCUGUUGCAGUCAAUUUAUUGACCCUGACGUUUCAGGAUAUGCUUUGCAGGGCCGUCGCCCUGUUCAAGCGUCAGAAGUCUCUGGAGAACCGUAAUGGUGAGAAGGAGAUGAAUGCGUGAUGACAAAAGUUAGCAAACUCCCGGAACCCGUGAAAAGGGGACAGAAUGUCCGUACCGAGAUCUGACACAGGUGCCCCUAGCUAAAAAGGCUAAGGCGUGUCGGUUUAAUCAUGGUUAGGGAAUUCGGCAAAUUGGCCCCGUAACUUCGGAAUAAGGGGUGCCUGCCUGGAGAUCAGGCAGGUCGCAGUGACCAGAGGGCUCCGACUGUCUAAUAACAACAUAGCAGACUGCAACUCCGUAAGGACUAGUAUAGUCUGUGAUUCCUGCCCAGUGCAGGUAUCUGAAAACUCAGUACAAUGGGAAGAAGGACCUGUAAACGGCGGGGGUAACUAUGACCCUCUUAAGGUAGCGUAGUACCUUGUCGCUUAAUUGGCGACUUGCAUGAAUGGAUUAACGAGAGCCCUACUGUCCCAACCAUGAGGCCGUUGAACAUUUUAUUCUGGUGCAGAGGCCAGAGACUCCAGAUGGGAAGUGAAGACCCCGUGGAGCUUUACUGCAGCCUGUCGUUGUGUUACGGUAUUCAAUGCGCAGGGUAGAUGGGAGGCGUCGAUCCGUUUCUUUUGGGAAACGGGGAGCCAACGAUGAGACACCAUCCCUUGUUUACUGUAACACUCACUCUAUUCGAGGACAUCGAUAGGUGGGCAGUUUGGGUGGGGCGCCACACCCUCGAAAAAAUAUCAAGGGUGCCCCAAGGUCAACUCAUGUGAGUCAGAAACUCACAGAAGAGUGUCAAGAGCAAAAGUUGGCCUGACGCUGACACGCAUAGUAAGUGUCUGCGAGAGGAAACUCGGGUCUAACGAACCAAUACGCGUUGUUGAUGAAUGCUAUUGACGACAGAAAAGCUACCCCGGGGAUAACAGAGUCGUCGCCGGCAAGAGCACAUAUCGACCCGGCGGCUUGCUACCUCGAUGUCGGUUCUUUCCAUCCUGGCUGUGCAGCAGCAGCCAAGGGUGAGGUUGUUCGCCUAUUAAAGGGGAUCGUGAGCUGGGUUUAGACCGUCGUGAGACAGGUCGGUUACUAUCUAUCUGGAGUGUUGGGUGUCUGAAGGUAAGACGGAAAUAGUACGAGAGGAACUUUCCGUCGUCGCCUCUGGUAUACCGGUUGUCCGACAGGGCAUCGCCGGGUGGCUACGCGAUAAGGGAUAAAAGCUGAAAGCAUCUAAGCUUGAAACCUGACCUAAAACGAGACACCGUCUGAGAGCACGGGUAAAAGACCCGGUUGAUAGGCGUGGGAUGUACGCACGAAGGCAACGACGUGUUAAGUCCACACGUACUAAUAGCUCGAUAUCCACAAUG